RNAcentral lists this ribosomal RNA (416 nucleotides) under Metschnikowia dekortorum. RNAcentral's name for it is "LSU rRNA". It matches the Rfam family "Eukaryotic large subunit ribosomal RNA", at positions 38 to 476 of the family's 3401-position model. The record is from RNAcentral. Lineage: Eukaryota; Fungi; Ascomycota; Pichiomycetes; Serinales; Metschnikowiaceae.
GCAUUAUCAUAAGCGGAGGAAAAGAAACCAACAGGGAUUACCUUAGUAACGGCGAGUGAAGCGGUAAAAGCUCAAAUUUGAAAUCUUCGGAAUUGUAAUUUGACGGGUAGAAUUUGUUUUUUAAAGAAAGUUCACUGGAAUGUGACGCCACAGAGGGUGAUAGCCCCGUUAACUAAAAGAAACUACUUAAUUCUAUUCCUAAGAGUCGGGUUGUUUGGGAAUGCAGCUCAAAGUGGGUGGUAAAUUCCAUCUAAAGCUAAAUAUUGGCGAGAGACCGAUAGCGAACAAGUACAGUGAUGGAAAGAUGAAAAGAACUUUAAAAGAGAGUGAAAUAGUACGUGAAAUUGUUGAAAGGGAAGGGAAAGGGGGAGAUAAUUCAAGACAAUACUUAAGGUGUUACUACCACUCUGUCUUUC